GAUGAACGCUGGCGGCGUGCCUAAUACAUGCAAGUCGAGCGAACGGACGAGAAUCUUUCUUCUCUUAUGUUAUCGGCUGACGUGUUAUUAACACGUGUAUAACCUCCCUAUAAUACUGGUAUAACUUCGUGACACCGUAUCUAAUACCGUAUAAUAUUUUGAACCUCAUUGUUCAAAAUUGAAAUACGUUCUUGCUGUCUCUUAUAGAUGUUUCCGCGCUGCAUUAGCUAGUUGGUAAGGUAACGGCUUACCAAGGCAACGAUGCAUAGCCGACCUGAGAGGGUGAGAGGCAACACUGGAACGGAGACACGGUCCAGAGUACAACGGGAGGAAGCAGAAGGGAAUAUUCCGCAAUGGGCGAAAGCAUGACGGAGAAACGCCGAGUGAGUGAUGAAGGGCUUCGGAGCGUAAAAAUCUGUUAUUAGGGAAGAAAAGAUGUGUAAGUAAAUGUGAACAGCAUGACGGUACCUAAUCAGAAAGCAACGGCUAACUACGUG
This 497-nucleotide ribosomal RNA is filed under the name uncultured bacterium. Its description in RNAcentral is "partial 16S ribosomal RNA". It matches the Rfam family "Bacterial small subunit ribosomal RNA", at positions 28 to 507 of the family's 1533-position model. The record is from RNAcentral.